CCUACGGGGGGCAGCAGUGAGGAAUAUUGGUCAAUGGACGAGAGUCUGAACCAGCCAAGCAGCGUGAAGGAUGAAUGUCCCAAGGGUUGUAAACUUCUUUUAUAAAGGAACAAAACGAGGCACGGGCGCAUUAUUGCAUGUACUUGAUGAAAAAGGAUCGGUUAACUCCGUGCCAGCAGCCUCGGUAAUACGGAGGAUCCGAGCGUUGUCCGGAUUUAUUGGGUUUAAAGGGAGGGUAGAUGGGGUGUUAAGUCAGAUGUGAAAGCUUGCGGGUCAACCGUAGAGUUGCAAUGGAUACUGGCAGUCUUGAGUGCAGUUGAGGUAGGCGGAAUUCGUGGUGUAGCGGUGAAAUGCUUAGAUAUCACGAAGAACCCCGAUUGCGAAGGCAGCUUACUGAACUGUGACUGACGUUGAUGCUCGAAAGUGUGGGUAUCAAACAGGAGUAGAUACCCUGGUAGUC
This 460-nucleotide ribosomal RNA is filed under the name uncultured bacterium. Its description in RNAcentral is "partial 16S ribosomal RNA". It matches the Rfam family "Bacterial small subunit ribosomal RNA", at positions 338 to 795 of the family's 1533-position model. The record is from RNAcentral.